AUCCAGCUGACAAAUCCCAAAUAGGAUGAAACGCGCGUCAAACUAGAU
RNAcentral lists this non-coding RNA (48 nucleotides) under Schistosoma curassoni. Lineage: Eukaryota; Metazoa; Platyhelminthes; Trematoda; Strigeidida; Schistosomatidae. The record is from RNAcentral.